Triticum urartu is the source of this 115-nucleotide non-coding RNA. NCBI's taxonomy places the organism in Eukaryota, Viridiplantae, Streptophyta, Magnoliopsida, Poales, Poaceae. The record is from Rfam.
GAGGUACUCCCUCCGUUCAGAAUUACUUGUCACAAAAAUGGAUGUAUCUACAACUAAAAUACAUCUAGAUACAUCCAUUUCGUGGACGAGUAAUUCCGAACGGAGGGAGUAUGUU